RNAcentral lists this ribosomal RNA (1528 nucleotides) under Klebsiella pneumoniae. RNAcentral's name for it is "bacterial SSU rRNA". It matches the Rfam family "Bacterial small subunit ribosomal RNA". Lineage: Bacteria; Pseudomonadati; Pseudomonadota; Gammaproteobacteria; Enterobacterales; Enterobacteriaceae. The record is from RNAcentral.
AGAGUUUGAUCAUGGCUCAGAUUGAACGCUGGCGGCAGGCCUAACACAUGCAAGUCGAGCGGUAGCACAGAGAGCUUGCUCUCGGGUGACGAGCGGCGGACGGGUGAGUAAUGUCUGGGAAACUGCCUGAUGGAGGGGGAUAACUACUGGAAACGGUAGCUAAUACCGCAUAACGUCGCAAGACCAAAGUGGGGGACCUUCGGGCCUCAUGCCAUCAGAUGUGCCCAGAUGGGAUUAGCUAGUAGGUGGGGUAACGGCUCACCUAGGCGACGAUCCCUAGCUGGUCUGAGAGGAUGACCAGCCACACUGGAACUGAGACACGGUCCAGACUCCUACGGGAGGCAGCAGUGGGGAAUAUUGCACAAUGGGCGCAAGCCUGAUGCAGCCAUGCCGCGUGUGUGAAGAAGGCCUUCGGGUUGUAAAGCACUUUCAGCGGGGAGGAAGGCGAUAAGGUUAAUAACCUUGUCGAUUGACGUUACCCGCAGAAGAAGCACCGGCUAACUCCGUGCCAGCAGCCGCGGUAAUACGGAGGGUGCAAGCGUUAAUCGGAAUUACUGGGCGUAAAGCGCACGCAGGCGGUCUGUCAAGUCGGAUGUGAAAUCCCCGGGCUUAACCUGGGAACUGCAUUCGAAACUGGCAGGCUAGAGUCUUGUAGAGGGGGGUAGAAUUCCAGGUGUAGCGGUGAAAUGCGUAGAGAUCUGGAGGAAUACCGGUGGCGAAGGCGGCCCCCUGGACAAAGACUGACGCUCAGGUGCGAAAGCGUGGGGAGCAAACAGGAUUAGAUACCCUGGUAGUCCACGCCGUAAACGAUGUCGAUUUGGAGGUUGUGCCCUUGAGGCGUGGCUUCCGGAGCUAACGCGUUAAAUCGACCGCCUGGGGAGUACGGCCGCAAGGUUAAAACUCAAAUGAAUUGACGGGGGCCCGCACAAGCGGUGGAGCAUGUGGUUUAAUUCGAUGCAACGCGAAGAACCUUACCUGGUCUUGACAUCCACAGAACUUAGCAGAGAUGGUUUGGUGCCUUCGGGAACUGUGAGACAGGUGCUGCAUGGCUGUCGUCAGCUCGUGUUGUGAAAUGUUGGGUUAAGUCCCGCAACGAGCGCAACCCUUAUCCUUUGUUGCCAGCGGUUAGGCCGGGAACUCAAAGGAGACUGCCAGUGAUAAACUGGAGGAAGGUGGGGAUGACGUCAAGUCAUCAUGGCCCUUACGACCAGGGCUACACACGUGCUACAAUGGCAUAUACAAAGAGAAGCGACCUCGCGAGAGCAAGCGGACCUCAUAAAGUAUGUCGUAGUCCGGAUUGGAGUCUGCAACUCGACUCCAUGAAGUCGGAAUCGCUAGUAAUCGUAGAUCAGAAUGCUACGGUGAAUACGUUCCCGGGCCUUGUACACACCGCCCGUCACACCAUGGGAGUGGGUUGCAAAAGAAGUAGGUAGCUUAACCUUCGGGAGGGCGCUUACCACUUUGUGAUUCAUGACUGGGGUGAAGUCGUAACAAGGUAACCGUAGGGGAACCUGCGGUUGGAUCACCU